This 586-nucleotide ribosomal RNA is filed under the name Thraustochytriidae sp. ANACC TC_033. Its description in RNAcentral is "partial 18S ribosomal RNA". It matches the Rfam family "Eukaryotic small subunit ribosomal RNA", at positions 416 to 1021 of the family's 1831-position model. The record is from RNAcentral. Lineage: Eukaryota; Bigyra; Thraustochytrida; Thraustochytriidae.
CCANGAAGGCAGCAGGCGCGUAAAUUACUCUAUGCCAACGCGGCGAAGUAGUGACGAAAAAUAGGACUGGGUAGCGCUUUGCGUUAUCUUUGUCCAAUGAGAGCAAUGUAAAAGCCUCAUCGAGGAUCCAUUGGAGGGCAAGUCUGGUGCCAGCAGCCGCGGUAAUUCCAGCUCCAAUAGCGUACACUAAAGUUGUUGCAGUUAAAAAGCUCGUAGUCUAAUGUAUGGGAGUUGCGGUGUGGGUGUUUGGUUGGUUUUGCCGACUAGACAAUACUCGCUCCGCUUCCCGCUUGUUUUGCUCUCUUUUAAAAAAGGAAAAUGUUUCGCUGUAAAAAAAACUCCUCCCUCAACAAGGAGGUCUUGUUGAUAUGAAUUAUGGGGGGAUGAUAAGAGAGGCUCGGUCCUUUUUUUGUUGGUUUUGGUGUGAUAAUGAUGAUGAAGAAGGACAGUUGGGGGUAUUAUUAUUUGUUGUAAGAGGAGGAAUUCUAGUAUUUAGGAACGACGAACUGCUGCAAAAGCUUCUACCGAUGAUGUUUUGAUGAUCAACGAACGAUUUGGUGAGGAUCGAUGAUGAUUACNCCAUCCU